RNAcentral lists this ribosomal RNA (422 nucleotides) under Bacillota bacterium. RNAcentral's name for it is "Firmicutes bacterium partial 16S ribosomal RNA". It matches the Rfam family "Bacterial small subunit ribosomal RNA", at positions 355 to 776 of the family's 1533-position model. The record is from RNAcentral. Lineage: Bacteria; Bacillati; Bacillota.
CAAGGAAUCUUCCGCAAUGGGGGCAACCCUGACGGAGCAACGCCGCGUGGGGGAUGACGCCCUUCGGGGUGUAAACCCCUUUUCUGCGGGAAGAAGGGCGGGGGCAACCGCGCCUUGACGGUACCGCAGGAAGAAGGACCGGCUAACUACGUGCCAGCAGCCGCGGUAAUACGUAGGGUCCGAGCGUUGUCCGGAGUUACUGGGCGUAAAGCGCGCGUAGGCGGCGGUGCUGGCCCGGCGUGAAAGCCCCCGGCUCAACCGGGGAGGGUCGUCGAGGACCGCACCGCUUGAGGGCGGUAGGGGCUGGUGGAAUGCCUGGUGUAGUGGUGAAAUGCGUAGAGAUCAGGCGGAACACCCGUGGCGAAGGCGGCCAGCUGGGCCGUCCCUGACGCUGAGGCGCGAAGGCGUGGGGAGCGAACGGG